GGAGGCCUUUUUCUAAACUUGGCCUUUAAACAAAACAAAACCAAACAAAACACCCACCCACCCAGAGGUCCCAGGAGCCUGCGCAUUAAAGCGAGCUGUGCAGCGGCUCUCCCGCCGGUUUUCUGCGAAAUGUAGUACAGUGGGCACCCGCAGGGUGGAGUGCAAAUGGCCGUGUCCUUGCGGGAUAGAAAAGGAGGUGCCGGAAACUUUGAACCUUGGCCAGAGUACAACGUGUCCACUUAGACGGCGCUUUGAGAGAUGACCUUAAUCUGAUCUCAUCUGGAUGGAGCUGCCUCGCUGGGAAGAACAGUAAAGAACCUUAUGUUGAAUCUUAAAAUGCAGAAAAUACUUGAAUGUUGGUUCGUUGAGCUUGAUUUUCUUGGUAUCAAAGAACAGUGUAACAGGACUUUUAUUAAGUGCCAACGUGCUAUGUCAAACCUUGAUUUAUGGAGAAACUAAUAAUAAAAUUCUAAUUGCACUGUGA
This is a non-coding RNA of Leptonychotes weddellii (Weddell seal), 484 nucleotides long. NCBI's taxonomy places the organism in Eukaryota, Metazoa, Chordata, Mammalia, Carnivora, Phocidae. The record is from RefSeq and is a predicted model, not a curated record.